Molecule: long non-coding RNA, 318 nt
Organism: Xenopus laevis (African clawed frog)
Lineage: Eukaryota; Metazoa; Chordata; Amphibia; Anura; Pipidae
Exons: 3
Source: RefSeq, a predicted model, not a curated record
UUAACUCCCAGCAGGUGUCAGUCGGUCCCAGUAACUCCCAGCAGGUGUCAGUCGGUCCCAGUAAGCUCCCAGCAGGUGUCAGUCGGUCCCAGUAACUCCCAGCAGGUGUCAGUCGGUGUAACUCCCAGCAGGUGUCAGUCGGUCCCAGUAACUCCCAGCAGGUGUCAGUCGGUCCCAGUAACUCCCAGCAGGUGUCAGUCGGUCCCAGUAACUCCCAGCAGGUGUCAGUCAGUCCCAGUAACUCCCAGCAGGUGUCAGGGGUCCCAGUAACUCCCAGCAGGUGUCAGUCGGUCCCAGUAACUCCCAGCAGGUGUCAGU